This 483-nucleotide ribosomal RNA is filed under the name Ophionereis porrecta. RNAcentral's name for it is "partial 16S ribosomal RNA". It matches the Rfam family "Bacterial large subunit ribosomal RNA", at positions 1851 to 2613 of the family's 2925-position model. Lineage: Eukaryota; Metazoa; Echinodermata; Ophiuroidea; Amphilepidida; Ophionereidae. The record is from RNAcentral.
GGUACGACCUGCCCGGUGACUGAGAAGUUAAACGGCUGCAGUACUCUGACUGUGCAAAGGUAGCAUAAUCAUUAGCCUAUUAAUUGUAGGCUGGCAUCAACGGUUAGACGACAAAGAAGCUGUCUUUUUCUUUAUAUCCUUAAUUUAUCUUUUGAGUGAAGAGACUUAAAUAGCAUAGCGGGACGAGAAGACCCUAUUGAGCUUUAGAACUUGACUUUUGUUUUUAAGUUGGAGUUUUUGGGUUGGGGCAACUAUUUCUAUAAUUUAACAGAGGUUAGUAAAAAUGAAUUAAAUCUUUUUGGACCCGGAAGUGUUCCGGAAGUUAGAAAAAGUUACCUUAGGGAUAACAGCGUAAUUUUCUCUGAGAGUACACAUUGACGAGAAAGUUUGCGACCUCGAUGUUGGAUUAAGUUUUCCUGGGGGUGCAGCAGCUUCCAAGGGUUGGUUUGUUCAACCAUAAAAAUCUUACGUGAUCUGAGUUCA